Molecule: ribosomal RNA, 497 nt
Filed under: uncultured bacterium
Lineage: Bacteria
Description: partial 16S ribosomal RNA
Rfam family: Bacterial small subunit ribosomal RNA
Source: RNAcentral
GAUGAACGCUGGCGGCGUGCCUAAUACAUGCAAGUCGAGCGAACAGACGAGGAGCUUGCUCCUCUGACGUUAGCGGCGGACGGGUGAGUAACACGUGGAUAACCUACCUAUAAGACUGGGAUAACUUCGGGAAACCGGAGCUAAUACCGGAUAAUAUAUUGAACCGCAUGGUUCAAUAGUGAAAGUCGGUUUUGCUGUCACUUAUAGAUGGAUCCGCGCCGCAUUAGCUAGUUGGUAAGGUAACGGCUUACCAAGGCUACGAGGCGUAGCCGACCUGAGAGGGAGAUCGGCCACACUGGAACUGAGACACGGUCCAGACUCCUACGGGAGGCAGCAGUAGGGAAUCUUCCGCAAUGGGCGAAAGCCUGACGGAGCAACGCCGCGUGAGUGAUGAAGGUCUUCGGAUCGUAAAACUCUGUUAUUAGGGAAGAACAAAUGUGUAAGUAACUAUGCACGUCUUGACGGUACCUAAUCAGAAAGCCACGGCUAACUACGUG